This 93-nucleotide transfer RNA is filed under the name Candidatus Theseobacter exili. Its description in RNAcentral is "tRNA-Ser". It matches the Rfam family "tRNA". From Rfam's summary of the family: Transfer RNA (tRNA) molecules are approximately 80 nucleotides in length. Their secondary structure includes four short double-helical elements and three loops (D, anti-codon, and T loops). Further hydrogen bonds mediate the characteristic L-shaped molecular structure. tRNAs have two regions of fundamental functional importance: the anti-codon, which is responsible for specific mRNA codon recognition, and the 3' end, to which the tRNAs corresponding amino acid is attached (by aminoacyl-tRNA synthetases). tRNAs cope with the degeneracy of the genetic code in two manners: having more than one tRNA (with a specific anti-codon) for a particular amino acid; and 'wobble' base-pairing, i.e. permitting non-standard base-pairing at the 3rd anti-codon position. Lineage: Bacteria; Pseudomonadati; Candidatus Auribacterota; Candidatus Auribacteria; Candidatus Theseobacterales; Candidatus Theseobacteraceae. The record is from RNAcentral.
GGAGAGGUGCCAGAGCGGUUUAAUGGGGCGGUCUCGAAAACCGUUGUUCCGGUAACCCCGGAACCCAGGGUUCGAAUCCCUGCCUCUCCGCCA